AGUGAACGCUGGCGGUAGGCCUAACACAUGCAAGUCGAACGGCAGCACAGUAAGAGCUUGCUCUUACGGGUGGCGAGUGGCGGACGGGUGAGGAAUACAUCGGAAUCUACUUUUUCGUGGGGGAUAACGUAGGGAAACUUACGCUAAUACCGCAUACGACCUACGGGUGAAAGCAGGGGAUCUUCGGACCUUGCGCGAAUGAAUGAGCCGAUGUCGGUUUAGCUAGUUGGCGGGGUAAAGGCCCACCAAGGCGACGAUCCGUAGCUGGUCUGAGAGGAGGAUCAGCCACACUGGAACUGAGCCACGGUCCAGACUCCUACGGGAGGCAGCAGUGGGGAAUAUUGGACAAUGGGCGCAAGCCUGAUCCAGCCAUACCGCGUGGGUGAAGAAGGCCUUCGGGUUGUAAAGCCCUUUUGUUGGGAAAGAAAAGCAGCAGGUUAAUACCCCGCUGUUCUGACGGUACCCAAAGAAUAAGCACCGGCUAACUUCGUG
Molecule: ribosomal RNA, 492 nt
Filed under: uncultured bacterium
Lineage: Bacteria
Description: partial 16S ribosomal RNA
Rfam family: Bacterial small subunit ribosomal RNA
Source: RNAcentral